Molecule: ribosomal RNA, 861 nt
Filed under: uncultured bacterium
Lineage: Bacteria
Description: partial 16S ribosomal RNA
Rfam family: Bacterial small subunit ribosomal RNA
Source: RNAcentral
GGCCGCGGGAAUUCGAUUAGAGUUUGAUUCUGGCUCAGGCCUUAAAAUGGCGGCGUGCUUAACACAUGCAAGUCGAACGACCCUAUUUAGCGGAAGUUUUCGGAUGGAAGCCAAAUUGACUGAGUGGCGGACGGGUGAGUAACGCGUGGGUAACCUGCCUCAUACAGGGGGAUAACAGUUAGAAAUGACUGCUAAUACCGCAUAAGCGCACGAGGAUGCAUGUUCUUGUGUGAAAAACUCCGGUGGUAUGAGAUGGACCCGCGUCUGAUUAGCUAGUUGGAGGGGUAACGGCCCACCAAGGCGACGAUCAGUAGCCGACCUGAGAGGGUGACCGGCCACAUUGGGACUGAGACACGGCCCAAACUCCUACGGGAGGCAGCAGUGGGGAAUAUUGCACAAUGGGGGAAACCCUGAUGCAGCAACGCCGCGUGAGUGAAGAAGUAUUUCGGUAUGUAAAGCUCUAUCAGCAGGGAAGAAGAUGACGGUACCUGAGUAAGAAGCCCCGGCUAACUACGUGCCAGCAGCCGCGGUAAUACGUAGGGGGCAAGCGUUAUCCGGAUUUACUGGGUGUAAAGGGAGCGUAGACGGCUGCGCAAGUCUGAAGUGAAAGCCCGGGGCUCAACCCCGGGACUGCUUUGGAAACUGUGUAACUAGAGUGCUGGAGAGGCAAGCGGAAUUCCUAGUGUAGCGGUGAAAUGCGUAGAUAUUAGGAAGAACCCCAGUGGCGAAGGCGGCUUGCUGGACCAUAAAUGACGUUGAGGCUCGAAAGCGUGGGGAGCAACAGGAUUAGAUACCUUGGUAACCCACGCCGUAAACGAUGAAUGCUAAGGGUCGGGGAAUAAAGCUUCCUCGGGCCGGCCG